GACGAACGCUGGCGGCGUGCUUAAUACAUGCAAGUCGAACGGAAAGGCCCUGCUUUUGUGGGGUGCUCGAGUGGCGAACGGGUGAGUAACACGUGAGUAACCUGCCCUUGACUUUGGGAUAACUUCAGGAAACUGGGGCUAAUACCGGAUAGGAGCUCCUGCUGCAUGGUGGGGGUUGGAAAGUUUCGGCGGUUGGGGAUGGACUCGCGGCUUAUCAGCUUGUUGGUGGGGUAGUGGCUUACCAAGGCUUUGACGGGUAGCCGGCCUGAGAGGGUGCCCGGCCACAUUGGGACUGAGAUACGGCCCAGACUCCUACGGGAGGCAGCAGUGGGGAAUAUUGCACAAUGGGCGGAAGCCUGAUGCAGCAACGCCGCGUGCGGGAUGACGGCCUUCGGGUUGUAAACCGCUUUCGCCUGUGACGAAGCGUGAGUGACGGUAAUGGGUAAAGAAGCACCGGCUAACUACGU
Molecule: ribosomal RNA, 467 nt
Filed under: uncultured bacterium
Lineage: Bacteria
Description: partial 16S ribosomal RNA
Rfam family: Bacterial small subunit ribosomal RNA
Source: RNAcentral